RNAcentral lists this ribosomal RNA (2941 nucleotides) under Photorhabdus thracensis. Its description in RNAcentral is "bacterial LSU rRNA". It matches the Rfam family "Bacterial large subunit ribosomal RNA". Lineage: Bacteria; Pseudomonadati; Pseudomonadota; Gammaproteobacteria; Enterobacterales; Morganellaceae. The record is from RNAcentral.
GGGUUGUGAGGUUAAGCGACUAAGCGUACACGGUGGAUGCCUAGGCAGUCAGAGGCGAUGAAGGACGUGCUAAUCUGCGAAAAGCGUCGGUAAGCUGAUAUGAAGCGUAAUAGCCGGCGAUGUCCGAAUGGGGAAACCCAGUGCAAUCCGUUGCACUAUCGUUUGAUGAAUUCAUAGUCAAACGAGGCGAACCGGGGGAACUGAAACAUCUCAGUACCCCGAGGAAAAGAAAUCAACCGAGAUUCCCCCAGUAGCGGCGAGCGAACGGGGAGCAGCCCAGAGUCUGAAUCAGCGGGUGUGUUAGUGGAAGCGUCUGGAAAGUCGCACAGUAAAGGGUGAGAGUCCCGUACACCAAAACACACAAGUUGUGAACUCAACGAGUAGGGCGGGACACGUGGUAUCCUGUCUGAAUAUGGGGGGCCCAUCCUCCAAGGCUAAAUACUCCUGACUGACCGAUAGUGAACCAGUACCGUGAGGGAAAGGCGAAAAGAACCCCGGCGAGGGGAGUGAAAGAGAACCUGAAACCGUGUACGUACAAGCAGUGGGAGCUUCUAUUAAUAGGGGUGACUGCGUACCUUUUGUAUAAUGGGUCAGCGACUUAUAUUCUGUAGCAAGGUUAACCGUUUAGGGGAGCCGCAGGGAAACCGAGUCUUAACUGGGCGCAUGAGUUGCAGGGUAUAGACCCGAAACCCGGUGAUCUAGCCAUGGGCAGGUUGAAGGUUAGGUAACACUGACUGGAGGACCGAACCGACUAAUGUUGAAAAAUUAGCGGAUGACUUGUGGCUGGGGGUGAAAGGCCAAUCAAACCGGGAGAUAGCUGGUUCUCCCCGAAAGCUAUUUAGGUAGCGCCUCGUGAAUUCAUCUUCGGGGGUAGAGCACUGUUUCGGCUAGGGGGCCAUCCCGGCUUACCAACCCGAUGCAAACUGCGAAUACCGAAGAAUGGUAUCACGGGAGACACACGGCGGGUGCUAACGUCCGUCGUGAAGAGGGAAACAACCCAGACCGCCAGCUAAGGUCCCAAAGUCAUGGUUAAGUGGGAAACGAGGUGGGAAGGCUCAGACAGCCAGGAUGUUGGCUUAGAAGCAGCCAUCAUUUAAAGAAAGCGUAAUAGCUCACUGGUCGAGUCGGCCUGCGCGGAAGAUGUAACGGGGCUAAACCAUGCACCGAAGCUGCGGCAGCGACAUGAAUGUGUCGUUGGGUAGGGGAGCGUUCUGUAAGCCGGCGAAGGCGGCGUCGUGAGGCCCGCUGGAGGUAUCAGAAGUGCGAAUGCUGACAUAAGUAACGAUAAAGCGGGUGAAAAACCCGCUCGCCGGAAGACCAAGGGUUCCUGUCCAACGUUAAUCGGGGCAGGGUGAGUCGACCCCUAAGGCGAGGCUGAAAAGCGUAGUCGAUGGGAAACAGGUUAAUAUUCCUGUACUGAAUGUGACUGCGAAGGGGGGACGGAGAAGGCUAGGCCAUCCGGGCGACGGUCGUCCCGGUUUAAGCGUGUAGGUGGGCAGGACAGGCAAAUCCGUUCUGCUGCAACACUGAGGCGUGAUGACGAGCCGCUACGGCGGUGAAGUGGUUGAUGCCCGGCUUCCAGGAAAAGCCUCUAAGCAUCAGGUCAUAUUGAAUCGUACCCCAAACCGACACAGGUGGUCAGGUAGAGAAUACUCAGGCGCUUGAGAGAACUCGGGUGAAGGAACUAGGCAAAAUGGUGCCGUAACUUCGGGAGAAGGCACGCUGGCGGUAGGUGAAGGGCCGAGCGCCCGGAGCUGAAGCCAGUCGCAGAGACCAGCUGGCUGCAACUGUUUAUUAAAAACACAGCACUGUGCAAACACGAAAGUGGACGUAUACGGUGUGACGCCUGCCCGGUGCUGGAAGGUUAAUUGAUGGGGUUAGCGCGUAAGUGCGACGCUCUUGAUCGAAGCCCCAGUAAACGGCGGCCGUAACUAUAACGGUCCUAAGGUAGCGAAAUUCCUUGUCGGGUAAGUUCCGACCUGCACGAAUGGCGUAAUGAUGGCCAGGCUGUCUCCACCCGAGACUCAGUGAAAUUGAACUCGCUGUGAAGAUGCAGUGUACCCGCGGCAAGACGGAAAGACCCCGUGAACCUUUACUAUAGCUUGACACUGAACAUGGAGCCUUGAUGUGUAGGAUAGGUGGGAGGCUUGGAAGUGUGGACGCCAGUCUGCAUGGAGCCAUCCUUGAAAUACCACCCUUGAAUGUUCGAUGUUCUCACCCGGGUGCGUGAUCCGCAUCGGGGACAGUGUCUGGUGGGUAGUUUGACUGGGGCGGUCUCCUCCUAAAGCGUAACGGAGGAGCACGAAGGUUGGCUAAUCACGGUCGGACAUCGUGAGGUUAGUGCAAAGGCAUAAGCCAGCUUGACUGCGAGAGUGACGGCUCGAGCAGGUACGAAAGUAGGUCUUAGUGAUCCGGUGGUUCUGCAUGGAAGGGCCAUCGCUCAACGGAUAAAAGGUACUCCGGGGAUAACAGGCUGAUACCGCCCAAGAGUUCAUAUCGACGGCGGUGUUUGGCACCUCGAUGUCGGCUCAUCACAUCCUGGGGCUGAAGUUGGUCCCAAGGGUAUGGCUGUUCGCCAUUUAAAGUGGUACGCGAGCUGGGUUUAGAACGUCGUGAGACAGUUCGGUCCCUAUCUGCCGUGGGCGCAGGAAGAUUGAAAGGGGCUGCUCCUAGUACGAGAGGACCGGAGUGGACGCACCACUGGUGUACGGGUUGUCAUGCCAAUGGCAUAGCCCGGUAGCUAAGUGCGGAAGAGAUAACCGCUGAAAGCAUCUAAGCGGGAAACUUGCCUUGAGAUGAGUCUUCCCUUGACGUAAGGUCACGGAAGGAACGUUUAAGACGAAGACGUGGAUAGGCUGGGUGUGUAAGUGCAGCGAUGCAUUGAGCUGACCAGUACUAAUGAACCGAGCGGCUUAACCUUACAACACCGAAGGUGUUUUAG